This is a non-coding RNA of Paramuricea clavata, 86 nucleotides long. Lineage: Eukaryota; Metazoa; Cnidaria; Anthozoa; Malacalcyonacea; Plexauridae. The record is from the annotation of a GenBank genome assembly.
GCUUCCUUGGCCCAGUCGGUUAGUGUGUCGUAUUUAUAAGCAGUUCUGAAGUAUAUGCGAAGGUCGAAGUUUCGAUACAAUAAGUU